GGGAUUAGUGGCGAACGGGUGAGUAACACGUGGGCAAUCUGCCCUGCACUCUGGGACAAGCCCUGGAAACGGGGUCUAAUACCGGAUACUGACCAUCACGGGCAUCUGUGGUGGUCGAAAGCUCCGGCGGUGCAGGAUGAGCCCGCGGCCUAUCAGCUUGUUGGUGAGGUAAUGGCUCACCAAGGCGACGACGGGUAGCCGGCCUGAGAGGGCGACCGGCCACACUGGGACUGAGACACGGCCCAGACUCCUACGGGAGGCAGCAGUGGGGAAUAUUGCACAAUGGGCGAAAGCCUGAUGCAGCGACGCCGCGUGAGGGAUGACGGCCUUCGGGUUGUAAACCUCUUUCAGCAGGGAAGAAGCGAAAGUGACGGUACCUGCAGAAGAAGCGCCGGCUAACUACGUGCCAGCAGCCGCGGUAAUACGUAGGGCGCAAGCGUUGUCCGGAAUUAUUGGGCGUAAAGAGCUCGUAGGCGGCUUGUCACGUCUGUUGUGAAAGCCCGGGGCUUAACCCCGGGUCUGCAGUCGAUACGGGCAGGCUAGAGUUCGGUAGGGGAGAUCGGAAUUCCUGGUGUAGCGGUGAAAUGCGCAGAUAUCAGGA
Molecule: ribosomal RNA, 601 nt
Filed under: Streptomyces sp. 407
Lineage: Bacteria; Bacillati; Actinomycetota; Actinomycetes; Kitasatosporales; Streptomycetaceae
Description: bacterial SSU rRNA
Rfam family: Bacterial small subunit ribosomal RNA
Source: RNAcentral